Molecule: ribosomal RNA, 401 nt
Filed under: Mesorhizobium sp.
Lineage: Bacteria; Pseudomonadati; Pseudomonadota; Alphaproteobacteria; Hyphomicrobiales; Phyllobacteriaceae
Description: bacterial SSU rRNA
Rfam family: Bacterial small subunit ribosomal RNA
Source: RNAcentral
AACUUGAGAGUUUGAUCCUGGCUCAGAACGAACGCUGGCGGCAGGCUUAACACAUGCAAGUCGAGCGCGUAGCAAUACGAGCGGCAGACGGGUGAGUAACGCGUGGGAAUCUACCCAUCUCUACGGAACAACUCCGGGAAACUGGAGCUAAUACCGUAUACGUCCUUUUGGAGAAAGAUUUAUCGGAGAUGGAUGAGCCCGCGUUGGAUUAGCUAGUUGGUGGGGUAAUGGCCUACCAAGGCGACGAUCCAUAGCUGGUCUGAGAGGAUGAUCAGCCACACUGGGACUGAGACACGGCCCAGACUCCUACGGGAGGCAGCAGUGGGGAAUAUUGGACAAUGGGCGAAAGCCUGAUCCAGCCAUGCCGCGUGAGUGAUGAAGGCCCUAGGGUUGUAAAGCUC